RNAcentral lists this ribosomal RNA (755 nucleotides) under uncultured bacterium. Its description in RNAcentral is "bacterial SSU rRNA". It matches the Rfam family "Bacterial small subunit ribosomal RNA", at positions 8 to 755 of the family's 1533-position model. The record is from RNAcentral.
AGAGUUUGAUCCUGGCUCAGGACGAACGCUGGCGGCGGGCUUAACACAUGCAAGUCGAAGGAGAAGGUAGCUGCUUGCAGCUACUGGAGACUGGCGGACGGGUGAGUAACGCGUAGAUAACCUGCCUAUAUCUGGGGGAUAACAUCUCGAAAGGGGUGCUAAUACCGCAUAAUGCAGCGGGGCCGCAUGGCCACAGUUGUUAAAAGUUUCGGCUGGAUAUAGAGGGGUCUGCGUACUAUUAGUUAGUUGGUGAGGUAACGGCUUACCAAGGCGAUGAUAGUUAGGGGGUCUGAGAGGAUGAUCCCCCACACUGGGACUGAGACACGGCCCAGACUCCUACGGGAGGCAGCAGUGAGGAAUCUUGCGCAAUGGGCGAAAGCCUGACGCAGCCACGCCGCGUGCCGGAAGACGGCCCUAUGGGUUGUAAACGGCUUUUAAAUGGGAAGAACGAGAGGGUUUCGAUCUUCUGUGACGGUACCAUUUGAAUAAGCACCGGCUAACUCCGUGCCAGCAGCCGCGGUAAUACGGAGGGUGCAAGCGUUGUCCGGAAUCAUUGGGUGUAAAGGGUGCGUAGGCGGGAGCCUAAGUCUGUGGUGAAAUCUUGCCGCUUAACGGUAAAAUUGCCAUGGAUACUGGGUUUCUUGAGUACAGAAGAGGUCGGUGGAAUUCGUAGUGUAGCGGUGAAAUGCAUAGAUCUUACGAAGAACACCAGUGGCGAAAGCGGCCGGCUGGACUGUAACUGACGCUUACGCACG